This 270-nucleotide ribosomal RNA is filed under the name uncultured archaeon. RNAcentral's name for it is "partial 16S ribosomal RNA". It matches the Rfam family "Archaeal small subunit ribosomal RNA", at positions 477 to 747 of the family's 1478-position model. The record is from RNAcentral.
CAGCUCUCCGAGUGGUAGGGAUGAUUAUUGGGCUUAAAGCGUCCGUAGCCGGCUUAGCAAGUCUCCUGUUAAAUUCAGCGACCUAAUCGUUGAGCCGCGGGAGAUACUACUAGGCUAGGAGGCGGGAGAGGUCGACGGUACUUCUGGGGUAGGGGUGAAAUCCUAUAAUCCCGGGAGGACCACCAGUGGCGAAGGCUGUUGACUAGAACGCGCUCGACGGUGAGGGACGAAAGCUGGGGGAGCGAACCGGAUUAGAUACCCGAGUAGUCC